Molecule: ribosomal RNA, 899 nt
Filed under: uncultured bacterium
Lineage: Bacteria
Description: partial 16S ribosomal RNA
Rfam family: Bacterial small subunit ribosomal RNA
Source: RNAcentral
UUUUUUGUUUUCAUGCACCCGCGUUAUUAUAGUAGGGGGGCGAGGCGUUGUUCUGUAAUUACUGGCAGUAGAAGGGCGGGUAGGCGCCCCUUUUAAGUCAAGAGUUGAAACGCCCACGGCCUCACCCGCGGGGCGUGCAUUUUGAUACAGUAGCUCUUUGAGUGUCGGAGGAGGAGAAGUAGAAUUCCCCCGUGUAGCGGGGAAAAGUUUAGAUAUUGGGAAGAAACACCAGUGGUGAGGGCGGUUUUUCUCCUCCUAUCACUGACGCUGAGGCGGGAAAAGUGGGGAGCAAACCACAAUUAUAUCCCCUAGUAGUCCUACCCGUAAAAGAUGGGUUCUAGGGGUGGGGGGGUUACCCCCCUUCCGUGCCGGCGGUAACCAAAAAAGUUCCCCCCCGGGGGGUGACGGGCGCAAGGAUUAAACUCAAAAGAAUUGGCGGGGGCCCCCCCCAGCGGGGGAGCCUGUGUUUUUAUUUGAAAAAACGGGAAAAACCUUACCCGGGCUUGACCUCCCCUAGCCAGCCGGAGAAACACGUCUCCCCUUCGGGCCAGGGAGACAGGUGGUGCAUGGUUGUCGUCAGCUCGUGUCGUGAGAUGUUGGGUUAAGUCCCGCAACGAGCGCAACCCCUUCCUUUAGUUGCCAUCAUUAAGUUGGGCACUCUAAAGAGACUGCCGGUGACAAAUCGGAGGAAGGUGGGGAUGACGUCAAAUCAUCAUGCCCCUUAUGAUCUGGGCUACCCACGUGCUACAAUGGGCGGUACAGAGGGAAGCGAAGCCGUGACGCGGAGCGAAUCCCAAAAAACCGGUCUCAGUUCGGAUUGCAGGCUGCAACUCGCCUGCAUGAAGUCGGAAUCGCUAGUAAUCGCGUUUAACAUGCUGGCGGUCCUUUGGAAGCCUGGG